RNAcentral lists this ribosomal RNA (246 nucleotides) under uncultured bacterium. RNAcentral's name for it is "partial 16S ribosomal RNA". It matches the Rfam family "Bacterial small subunit ribosomal RNA", at positions 523 to 769 of the family's 1533-position model. The record is from RNAcentral.
AUACGGAGGGUGCAAGCGUUGUUCGGAAUUAUUGGGCGUAAAGCGCGUGUAGGCGGUUUAUCAAGUCAGGGGUGAAAGGCUACGGCUCAACCGUAGUGAGCCUCUGAAACUGGGAGACUUGAGUACGGGAGAGGAGAGUGGAAUUCCUAGUGUAGGAGUGAAAUCCGUAGAUAUUAGGAGGAACACCGGUGGCGAAGGCGGCUCUCUGGGCCGAUACUGACGCUGAGACGCGAAAGCGUGGGUAGC